RNAcentral lists this ribosomal RNA (722 nucleotides) under Escherichia coli. Its description in RNAcentral is "bacterial SSU rRNA". It matches the Rfam family "Bacterial small subunit ribosomal RNA", at positions 1 to 713 of the family's 1533-position model. Lineage: Bacteria; Pseudomonadati; Pseudomonadota; Gammaproteobacteria; Enterobacterales; Enterobacteriaceae. The record is from RNAcentral.
AAAUUGAAGAGUUUGAUCAUGGCUCAGAUUGAACGCUGGCGGCAGGCCUAACACAUGCAAGUCGAACGGUAACAGGAAACAGCUUGCUGUUUCGCUGACGAGUGGCGGACGGGUGAGUAAUGUCUGGGAAACUGCCUGAUGGAGGGGGAUAACUACUGGAAACGGUAGCUAAUACCGCAUAACGUCGCAAGACCAAAGAGGGGGACCUUCGGGCCUCUUGCCAUCGGAUGUGCCAGAUGGGAUUAGCUAGUAGGUGGGGUAACGGCUCACCUAGGCGACGAUCCCUAGCUGGUCUGAGAGGAUGACCAGCCACACUGGAACUGAGACACGGUCCAGACUCCUACGGGAGGCAGCAGUGGGGAAUAUUGCACAAUGGGCGCAAGCCUGAUGCAGCCAUGCCGCGUGUAUGAAGAAGGCCUUCGGGUUGUAAAGUACUUUCAGCGGGGAGGAAGGGAGUAAAGUUAAUACCUUUACUCAUUGACGUUACCCGCAGAAGAAGCACCGGCUAACUCCGUGCCAGCAGCCGCGGUAAUACGGAGGGUGCAAGCGUUAAUCGGAAUUACUGGGCGUAAAGCGCACGCAGGCGGUUUGUUAAGUCAGAUGUGAAAUCCCCGGGCUCAACCUGGGAACUGCAUCUGAUACUGGCAAGCUUGAGUCUCGUAGAGGGGGGUAGAAUUCCAGGUGUAGCGGUGAAAUGCGUAGAGAUCUGGAGGAAUACCGGU